RNA transcript from Cynara cardunculus var. scolymus (artichoke), 1645 nucleotides. It is a transcript of the gene named MFP1 attachment factor 1-like, with no coding region annotated. The record is from RefSeq and is a predicted model, not a curated record. NCBI's taxonomy places the organism in Eukaryota, Viridiplantae, Streptophyta, Magnoliopsida, Asterales, Asteraceae. The transcript is spliced from 3 exons.
CCAAAGCAGAGAGCAGUAGUACUGUACAGAUGGACGACGCCACCAGCAAGCUGGAGCAGAUGAACAUUUCCUUUAGCAUUUGGCCGCCAACGCAGAGAACUCGCGAUGCCGUCAAGAAAGGCAUUGUGGAAUCGCUUUCCACCACUUCCAUCCUUUCUAAACGUUAUGGCACCUUACUUACCGAAGAAGCCACCGCCGUCGCCGAACGCAUGGAGGAUGAGGCCUACGCUGCCGCCUCCUCCGCAUCCGUCCCUGCCGAUGAUGACGGCAUCGAAAUCCUUCAGGUUUAUUCGAAAGAAAUCAGCGAACGGAUGCUUGAUUACAUGAAGUCCAGAUCCGCUUCGCCGGCAGCAGCCUCCUCCACGUUGAAUGAGGAUUCAACUGUUCACGAUGAGGAAAGCUCUACCGUCGAAACUCAAUCUUAAAGCUUAUUGAAACGGGGCGGACCGCUAUGGUGCGUAGGGGCAGACCACUAUGGUGCGCACGAUAGAAGGGGCCAUCAACACCAAGGUCUUGACGGCCUUGCAAGAGCAUAAGCUUUAUGUCAAUUUGAAGAAGUGUACUUCCUGCUCAUGGAAUGCUUGAAGAAAGGGAAGUUCCAAUGGGGUCCUGAGCAAGACGAAUGCUUUACCUUAAUUACGGAGAAGCUUAGAAUCGCUCCCGUUCUAGCCUUACCUGAUUUCAAGAAAUUCUUUGAAGUAGAAUGCAACGCAAGCGACAUUGGGGUUGGUGCUGUCCUAUCCCAAGAAAGAAGACUGAUCGCCUUCAAUGGUAAAAAAUUAUGCGAGGCCUGACAAUAGUGAAGCACGCGCGACCAAGAUUUCUAUGCGGUGGUUUGAGCCUUGAGGUAAUCGGAGCAUUACUUGGUUCAUCAAUAGUCAGAAACCGACCAACAAGAUGCACGCUUGUCGGGAAAAGUAGCACCGCUCGCCCCCAAACAACGGCAAAUAGAAGUUACUAACUGGACCUUGGGGAAUAUGCUCUGAAGCGUGUGUGGUGACAAGCCGAAGCAAUGGGAUGUAGCCUUGGCCCAGAUCGAAUUCGCCUACAACAACGCCGUUUACAUCGCCACCGGUCACUUUACCUUCUCCUUGGUCUUCAUUUCAAUACCAAGACACGUAGUCGACUUAGUCAAACUUCCCUACGACCCCAGAAUUAGCACAACAAUGGUAAAUAUGGCUAAGGAAGUUCAAGCAACAAAGGAAGCUGUCGAAACUCCACUCGAAACAACCAAAUUAAAGAACAAAGCGGCAAUGGAUAAACAUCGUCAGAAAAAGAUCUUCCAUGAGGAAGAUGAAGUGACGGUAUUCCUUCGGAAGGAACGUUUUCCCGUUGAACGUAUGGUAAGCUACAACCACGGAAGUGUGGUCCUUUCAAAGUCGCAAAGAAGAUCAACGAUAACGUGCAUGUCAUUACCCUUCCUGAUUCGUUACACAUUUCCAACACUUUCAAUGUAGCUGACAUCUAUGAGUAUCAUGCCUACGAGGCAAUGCUGACUCAAAAGAACUCGACGUCGAGUUCUUUUGAAGUGGAGGAGACUGAUAUAGAGAGGUUAGAGGGAACGAUCGAGUACUAGGUUUUGAUUUUUAUACAUGAAUAAAGAUUGAAGUCGUCACCAACAUUUUCUUACUCGUUAUAAUCCACA